GUGGGGAAUAUUGGACAAUGGGCGAAAGCCUGAUCCAGCCAUGCCGCGUGUGUGAAGAAGGUCUUCGGAUUGUAAAGCACUUUAAGUUGGGAGGAAGGGCAGUAAGUUAAUACCUUGCUGUUUUGACGUUACCAACAGAAUAAGCACCGGCUAACUUCGUGCCAGCAGCCGCGGUAAUACGAAGGGUGCAAGCGUUAAUCGGAAUUACUGGGCGUAAAGCGCGCGUAGGUGGUUCAGCAAGUUGGAGGUGAAAUCCCCGGGCUCAACCUGGGAACUGCCUCCAAAACUACUGAGAUAGAGUACGGUAGAGGGUAGUGGAAUUUCCUGUGUAGCGGUGAAAUGCGUAGAUAUAGGAAGGAACACCAGUGGCGAAGGCGACUACCUGGACUGAUACUGACACUGAGGUGCGAAAGCGUGGGGAGCAAACAGGAUUAGAUACCCCGGUAGUCC
Molecule: ribosomal RNA, 450 nt
Filed under: uncultured bacterium
Lineage: Bacteria
Description: partial 16S ribosomal RNA
Rfam family: Bacterial small subunit ribosomal RNA
Source: RNAcentral